GGAGAGGGUUAUUCGCCCCCACGGGGGAUUGAACCCCCGCCCCAGAUUUCCUAGGGGAGGCCACCAGUAGGGAAUUUUUCGGCAAGGGACGAAAUUUCUGACCGAAGCAACCGCCGCUUGAAUGAAAAAAGUUUUUCGGAUCGUAAAACUUUGGUUGUUAGAGAAGAACAGGGAUGAGAGUAAAACGUUCAUCCCUUGACGGUAUCUAACCAGAAAGCCACGGCUAACUACGUGCCAGCAGCCGCGGUAAUACGUAGGUGGCCAGCGUUGUCCGGAUUUAUUGGGCGUAAAGCGAGCGCAGGCGGUUUCUUAAGUCUGAUGUGAAAGCCCCCGGCUCAACCGGGGAGGGUCAUUGGAAACUGGGAGACUUGAGUGCAGAAGAGGAGAGUGGAAUUCCAUGUGUAGCGGUGAAAUGCGUAGAUAUAUGGAGGAACACCAGUGGCGAAGGCGGCUCUCUGGUCUGUAACUGACGCUGAGGCUCGAAAGCGUGGGGAGCGAACAGGAUUAGAUACCCUGGUAGUCCACGCCGUAAACGAUGAGUGCUAAGUGUUGGAGGGUUUCCGCCCUUCAGUGCUGCAGCAAACGCAUUAAGCACUCCGCCUGGGGAGUACGACCGCAAGGUUGAAACUCAAAGGAAUUGACGGGGGCCCGCACAAGCGGUGGAGCAUGUGGUUUAAUUCGAAGCAACGCGAAGAACCUUACCAGGUCUUGACAUCCUUUGACCACUCUAGAGAUAGAGCUUCCCCUUCGGGGGCAAAGUGACAGGUGGUGCAUGGUUGUCGUCAGCUCGUGUCGUGAGAUGUUGGGUUAAGUCCCGCAACGAGCGCAACCCUUAUUGUUAGUUGCCAUCAUUUAGUUGGGCACUCUAGCGAGACUGCCGGUGACAAACCGGAGGAAGGUGGGGAUGACGUCAAAUCAUCAUGCCCCUUAUGACCUGGGCUACACACGUGCUACAAUGGGAAGUACAACGAGUUGCGAAGUCGCGAGGCUAAGCUAAUCUCUUAAAGCUUCUCUCAGUUCGGAUUGUAGGCUGCAACUCGCCUACAUGAAGCCGGAAUCGCUAGUAAUCGCGGAUCAGCACGCCGCGGUGAAUACGUUCCCGGGCCUUGUACACACCGCCCGUCACACCACGAGAGUUUGUAACACCCGAAGUCGGUGAGGUAACCUUUUGGAGCCAGCCGCCUAAGUGGAAGAAGUGGA
RNAcentral lists this ribosomal RNA (1200 nucleotides) under Enterococcus gallinarum. RNAcentral's name for it is "bacterial SSU rRNA". It matches the Rfam family "Bacterial small subunit ribosomal RNA", at positions 293 to 1475 of the family's 1533-position model. The record is from RNAcentral. Lineage: Bacteria; Bacillati; Bacillota; Bacilli; Lactobacillales; Enterococcaceae.